RNAcentral lists this ribosomal RNA (500 nucleotides) under Escherichia coli. RNAcentral describes it as "bacterial LSU rRNA". It matches the Rfam family "Bacterial large subunit ribosomal RNA", at positions 1270 to 1769 of the family's 2925-position model. Lineage: Bacteria; Pseudomonadati; Pseudomonadota; Gammaproteobacteria; Enterobacterales; Enterobacteriaceae. The record is from RNAcentral.
AUGCUGGAGGUAUCAGAAGUGCGAAUGCUGACAUAAGUAACGAUAAAGCGGGUGAAAAGCCCGCUCGCCGGAAGACCAAGGGUUCCUGUCCAACGUUAAUCGGGGCAGGGUGAGUCGACCCCUAAGGCGAGGCCGAAAGGCGUAGUCGAUGGGAAACAGGUUAAUAUUCCUGUACUUGGUGUUACUGCGAAGGGGGGACGGAGAAGGCUAUGUUGGCCGGGCGACGGUUGUCCCGGUUUAAGCGUGUAGGCUGGUUUUCCAGGCAAAUCCGGAAAAUCAAGGCUGAGGCGUGAUGACGAGGCACUACGGUGCUGAAGCAACAAAUGCCCUGCUUCCAGGAAAAGCCUCUAAGCAUCAGGUAACAUCAAAUCGUACCCCAAACCGACACAGGUGGUCAGGUAGAGAAUACCAAGGCGCUUGAGAGAACUCGGGUGAAGGAACUAGGCAAAAUGGUGCCGUAACUUCGGGAGAAGGCACGCUGAUAUGUAGGUGAAGUCCCU